Long non-coding RNA from Suricata suricatta (meerkat), 381 nucleotides. RefSeq lists it as uncharacterized. The record is from RefSeq and is a predicted model, not a curated record. NCBI's taxonomy places the organism in Eukaryota, Metazoa, Chordata, Mammalia, Carnivora, Herpestidae. The transcript has 3 exons.
CCGUCAGUCUGACAAAGGGCCGCCGGCUGGCGAGCAGUUUCUGCUACACUGUGGACGUCUGACCGGGCCAGGCGAGCUGCCUCACGGCCACGGUGACUGAUGGCAGCGAGGCCAGAGGGCUCGGAAAGCACAUCUACUUCUCUUCCAUUACCCUCCGAGGCUGUGAGAGAAGUUACUUUUCACGGAAAUAAACCUUCGUACCAACGACAAGGCAGCAUGGCUUAGCCUUUCUGCAGGUGCCCCACCACGAAAGGAUCACCACGUGAGUCUUCUUAAUGUCUGCCACCGCACAGUUCCGAGAUGGCUUUUCUCGUGAUGACAGCUUUGCUGAUCAGCUUCCAGCGAUCGGUGCAGCACAUGACACCCCAUGACUUUACAGCU